Long non-coding RNA from Cyprinus carpio (common carp), 1309 nucleotides. Lineage: Eukaryota; Metazoa; Chordata; Actinopteri; Cypriniformes; Cyprinidae. The record is from Ensembl.
GGGAGGAAAGGACAGAAAGGAAUUUGUGGACCACCUGGCCCAGGGGUGAGUAUUGCUGCAUAUUUAUUUGAAUUUAUUAGUCCUAAUAACUUCUGAACUAACAUAGCAAGCCCUGAUACAGUAUGUGACCUGUGUUGCGCAUUAAUGUGGUUUUACAUUCAUUUUUGUGUUUCUCAGGGUUUUGAAGGGCAUCCAGCAGAAAAAGGAGAGAAAGGCAUAAUUGGUUUACCUGGUCUCAGAGGCCCGCCUGGAUAUCCAGGAAGAAAUGGCUUUCCAGGAUAUAAGGUACACAUUUUAAUCAUUUAUAAUUUACUAUUAAUAAGGAUUUAUUUAUUUUAAAAUGAUAGGUUUGUUGAAUUAUACUGUUGGUCACUUCUGAUGUUAUGUUUUUACAUAUACAGGGGGCACUAGGGGAAAAUGGUCUCCCUGGUCUAUUUGGCAACCCAGGGCCAAAGGUCAGGCACACAUUCUGAUUAGACAUUGUAUAAAAAAAAAAAAGAUUUUGUAAGAGUCAUCUACUUGCAGUAUAUUGUCAUUUGUUUGCUGACACUGCUGCUGUGAAUGUGUAACAGGGCUACCCAGGAGACCCCGGACCUAAAGGAAACCCAAAAUACCAUUACAACAAUAUGAUGGGAGUACCUGGAGACCGCGGGAUUCCUGGUGCAGCUGGACCUCCUGGUGAUAGAGGGCCGACGGGUAUACCUGGAGUCCCUGGUUAUCCAGGAGCAUCUAUAAAAGGUCUGAAAUAUCUUAAAUGUAAUUUUUGUAUUGUAUUUAUAUACUUAGAUGUCUUGGUGUGUAUUUUUCUUUUUUCUCUUUCUAACUCUGCUCUGCUUUUAGGUCCAGUGGGUGAAUCUGGUUUGCAGGGUUUUAAUGGACCUAAAGGAGAAAAAGGUGACCCAGGAAAAAUAUACGGGGCAUACUUAAACUAUGGUAAUGUUUCAGAUUUUUUAUGUUUGCUUAACAAAAUAUUUUUAAUAUGCAUUUUCCUACACAUUAUAAUGACUUGAAAGAGUUGUUGUAUUAUUUGUGUGACUUAAUUGUUAGGGGCAAUCGUAGAAAGCUGGAUUUUUUUCUCAUUUUGAACUGAAGGUGCAAUUUCUACACCGGUUUUUGCUUAAAGCAUAUGUAUGAAAUGAUGUACGUUUAUAUUUGUAGUCAUUAGUGGGAUUUGAGGGAUUCAAAAUUUGUAAGUAGUGUAUUUAUUCAUAAUCUUAUUCAGAGAUCUGCUGUUUUCUCCAAAACACAAUAAGUACUGCGUAGACUGGAAAAUAAUAAAAAAUCUUCAAUACCUGAAGUGGGGAAAUGU